AAUAACAGUGCAGCUUAAUGUUACAAAAUACUAAUAAAAAGAGCAAAUUAAAGAUAAUUCAAAAUAACAAUAAAGUGCUUGAGUAGGUUACAAUAGACUAAUUAGAUGAGUAAGAUAUAAGUUUAACAAUAGUAAUAGAUGGCAUUAAUUAAUAUAAUUCAAUUUUUUCAUUUAUAAGCAUCUACAAGAUGCACCGAGAAAAAUAGCCCCAAGUGGCCAAUUGGAAUAAUAGAGAAAAGUCGAGACAAAGUCUGGUCAUUUUCUCUAAUACGGGCUUAAGCUAAAAUUAGCUUAAAUUACAAAAAGUAAAUGAUAAUUAAUAUAGAUAAUUAAAUAAAAAUAGUUUAACAAUUCAUUUUAGCAGUUUUGAUUUCAUUAACAUUCAUUCGAUAUAUCGCAAGUGCAAUUGAGUAAGUGACGAUGCACCCCUGGCGUUGUGCCUAUCGGGGUGCAUAAUCAAAACAAAACAAAAACAGCUGAUUGAAAAUUGCAUUAAAUGCAAAUUUUAUGCUGCUAAUUGACAGGCGCAACACUGAAUAUAGCAGGAUUGCAUUAAUUGCAAGCUGAAUAGCAGCUGCUACCAUACAAAGUGCAGGGGGGCGCAAAGCUGGAAAUAGCCGAACUUCAUUAAUUGCAAGUUGACUAGCAGAAUACAUGAAGUACAGCAAGGAGACUUAGUCAUAUGGGCUGCAUAGCCAAUAGGGCGCAUAAUUAAGUUAGAUUUAAGUAGAUUUAAAUUUGAAUUUUAGGCGCAAGCGCCGUCAGAUAUGUUCGCUGCACAUAUACAUAUAUGUGCCGAAAAUAAACUUUUGUAUUGUA
Molecule: long non-coding RNA, 819 nt
Organism: Drosophila mojavensis
Lineage: Eukaryota; Metazoa; Arthropoda; Insecta; Diptera; Drosophilidae
Exons: 4
Source: RefSeq, a predicted model, not a curated record